Molecule: long non-coding RNA, 7283 nt
Organism: Mytilus californianus (California mussel)
Lineage: Eukaryota; Metazoa; Mollusca; Bivalvia; Mytilida; Mytilidae
Exons: 3
Source: RefSeq, a predicted model, not a curated record
CUGAUUGAUUUUUUGAAGAAAUGCAAAUGGAUAAUGAUCAGGAAUAUGCACAAAGUGUACACGAAGAAAUAAAUUACAGCAGCAUGCAAAAUGCAACGUCGUCUUCGUCAGUGCACAGAAGUGGAAUUGAGAUACCAUUACGCCCAUUCGAAAUGAUCUAACUAUCAACAAUGCCUGUAUCGCAAGGUAAGUUUAAAAGAACACUAAGCAGAGAUAUGUUAUUCAUUUUUAAACUCAACGUAGAAAAAAAAACCCAGAUAAUGGGUAAUCUAACAAUAAUACAACAAUAAGGUAACCAAUUGAUUCGAUAUUAAUUUAAAUAUUGAUUUGCAUUUCCUUUUUUCGACAGAUAAAGACUUAUAAGGAUUAUAAAACAUUCAACCACUCUGUGGUCAUAUCUGAGGGUAUAUUCUAGAUUUUACAAUUUAUUACAUUCAAUAAAGACUAUACUUGCCGUUCACAAGAAUCUACACUGUAUUUUUUGUCAAAAUUAAAUAUGUUUGCGAUUACUUGAAUUAUUUAAUUACGAGUGAGUAACAGUUCAAUCUAUACAAUGUGUUUUCAGAGAGGUAAAUUUAACGAAAUUGGACUAUAAACGAAUUUUCUAAUUUGCUGUGUCAAAUGUAGGAAAUAAUUUUAGAAAUGAGUCUAUCUCCAUUAUGAAAACCUCGGACUUUCUCACUGUGGUUGACUUUAAUUUCUCGCUUACAAUAACACAGAUAUUCGAGAACUUGUUCGCAUUACAGAGAUUGCAAUACGAGAGACAUAAGAAAUCCCACUGCUAUAGCCAUAAUUCAUUGUUAAAACAACAGGUUCUUGGAUUCCUAACAACCUUGUAAUGUUUAAAAUCGGCCAAAUAUCAAAUCAUUAAUUUAAAGUUAUACCGGAGUACUAAUGAACGAUCCUAGCCUGGAGACUUACUUCCAAGUUGAAUGAUAUGAAAGAUUGUCCAGUUGGGUCCUUUUUUUAUAUUUGAACAUUUUUAAUAAGCCUUAGUCGUGACGGUUAUAAAUGCUUUAAGGAAAACAACGUCCUGUCAAUAUACAUGUUUUGAUCCGGUUUUUUUUUUAUUAAAUAGUUCAAUUGUUUAGGAAAUAACAAAUUUCUGUACAUGUUUUGCAAACCUGUUUACUUUUGCAGUGUUGAAGAUAAAAAUUCAGAGCAAAGGGUAACACCCCAAAAACAAUAUUCCCCAAAAAUGUUUACAUCAUCCUUUGACAUUUUGCAAGGACUAAUUAAAAUCCAGAAUAAAAUCAUCUAGCAAGAUGUAUAGAUGUCAAGGAUUAUCGAAGCUAGUUUACUUCACAUGCAUACUCUAAGUCUGACAACAGUAUAAAUGGAUAUUAUGAUAUGGGGAGUGUAUAUAUCUUGCUCAAAAUUUAUUUGACCGUAAAAUGAUAUAUAUUUCAAGUCGAUGCAGGUCUGAAAUAAUGACUACUAGGCUGGGGAUACCCUCAUUAGACCAGUGGAAGCCUAAAUCAAGCAGUUUUAAAAAAGUGUCAAAUGAUUCAGACUUAAAUACGACAAGCUUUAAUCAACAAAAUAGUGGUCAGUUGGCCUUUUAAUCGAGACAGUUGAAAGGCACAAUCAAAUAAACAGUAGCAGCAUCGACACAUUUGAACAAAGAAAUUAUUGUGCAUAAAACAUUUUAGAUCAUCUAUAUCAAGAAAUAACAACACCUUGUUACAGAAAAUGACGUAUAUAUGACGUUUCACGUCCAUAAAGUAGCCUGAAGAAUAACCUGGUAAUACUAUCGAUGGCAACAUAUUAUUCUUCAGGGUUACAAUCACUAAUGUGCCUCAAAUUGAGGAACUCAUAAGCAGUGCGUAAACAAGAAUACCAACGCAGUACCACACACUAGUGUCAUUGGACAUGUUUCAAUUAACCGUACUUUACAACUUGUGCUGACUUAGAGAGCAGAGGACCAUAUAAUAAAGGUGUAACAACUAUAGAGUUAGAUGUAUGCAUAUAACUAAAUGUUCUUAAUGGUUGAAAAAAACCAAUUGUAUUUACUAAUUGAAAAUUAAGCUGAAUAAAAUCAUUUAAGACAGCAGAGAAGAUAAUUCUUUAUUAAUUGUUUAUUACUCAGACUUAAAUAAAGAGAGAGCUAUUUAUACUGUAAAUUUAUGAUGUCUCUGGUCUGGUCAAUGGGUCAGAGCUGUCCUAACUAAUGAAACGAUAAACUGUUGAAAUUUUAGAACAUUUUUUCUCGUGCAGAGAAAAUUCACUUGUGACCAGAGCAUGAUUGGAUUACAUCUUUCUUAUUGGUCAAUGAUCUUGCGGGGUCAGCACGAGCUCACGUGUAAGUGUGGUGUGGUCAUUCCCUUUUAUCAUCAGCCUUUGGCGUGUUAACUUGUAAUUUUUAUCAAACAAUUUGUGAAUAAUUUAAAUUUGAUGUAUAUUUUUGGACUGGAGUAAUUUCCUUUUGCAAUUUGAGGUAAAAUCGAACUAUACUUUUAUGUUUUAGCUAUUUUAUGCUUACAUUCUGGACAAACUUACAGUUACUUUUGACCAUUCUUUCAUUCGUAUAGAUUACACGAUUUUGUUGUAUGCAAUACACGUAGCAGUUGGUCAAAUUCAUCUCUUUGUGAUAGAGAUAUUGGUGUAAAAUUAAUUUUGGUGUUGUUGGUGACACUGUGCGUUUGCGAUCAAAUUGUACUUAUUUACCAUACUUAUGGAAAAUUAUAGCUGAUGAUAAACCCGAUGUUGUAUUUUUACAAGUUACUGAAUCCUUAAUAGCAUAUGUCGUUGUACAUUUAAAUGUAAAAGGCAUCCUAAUGUUUGCAGAACGUAUAAGAUCCGCCUGACGUAUCUGUAUGAGACAUGGUUCAAUUAAAUAGAAAUACAAAAUGUUAUGGGCAUAUGCUCAUUAACAAUGAAUGGUAAAGACCUAUUUCAUAUAUAUAUAUGAUAAUAAUAAUUAUAUGCUAAUAAUAAUAAUAAUAAUAAUAACGAUAUUAACACACAUGAUAGAAUGAAAAGUUACAUACUUAUAUAUGAUAUUAUUAACUAUUCCAUACAUUUACACUCUUAUAUGAAAGUGGCAGACAAUAUAAGUUUUAAGGCUAAGCUAUGGUUUAUUGUUUUACAAACCAAUUUGCCUUUCUUGUUUUGGGUAAGGUGGACGAUAUUGUGAUUGGUGCAGAGGGCGUGGUUGCUUGUACUUAUGACCUCUGUGUAUUUGCUUUUGCAAAUAUAUUUUGUGUAGUGUUCAUUGUUUUGUGCUAUUUCACGAAACUCAUGCUACUUUCGUAAAUCUCGUCAUGGUGCUUGGUUUGGAGCACAUUUUUGUAAGUUAGUCUAUUCGCCAAUUUGCCUGUACUGGCCUGUUUGGGUAAUGUGAACUAUAUUUUGAUUGUUGCAGAGGGCGUGGAUGCUUGUACUUAUGUCCUCUGUGCAUUUGUUUGUGCAGAGGUCGUGGUAGCUUGGACUUAUGACCUUUGUGUAUUUGCUUUUGCAAAUAUGUUAUUAUGUAGUGGGUAUUUGUUUAUGCUUCGUCAUGAAACUCAUGCUACUUUUUUUGGCAGAGGUUGUGGUAGCUUGGACUUAUGACAUCUGUGUAUUUGCUUUUGCAAAUAUGUUAUUAUGUAGUGAGUAUUGUUUCAUGGUUCGUCAUGAAACUUAUGCUACUUUUAUUCGCAGAGGUUGUGGUAGCUUUGACUUAUGACCUCUGUGUAUUCGCUUUUGCAAAUAUGUUAUUAUGUAGUGGGUAUCGUUUAAUGCGUCGUCAUGAAACUCAUGCUACUUUGUUAUUUCGUCAUGGUGAUUGGUUUGGAAUAAAUUAUUUUGUAAUUAAUUCUUUCGCUAGUUUCUCAUGUUUGUCAGUAUUUUAAUACAUGUUUCUAAUGUAUUAGUUAAAUUAUAUUUACUAGUAUAAUUCAUAUAGUUUGGGUUGCGAUGAACUUAAUUGAUAAUUUUUAUACCAAUACUAAAGCAAUGUAAGGUCGUAUGCUUUUACUUUAUAAUAGAUUUACUAUUAAAAAGAACAAUGGACAAGACAUACGUUAUCAAUACACUGAUAAUAUUUUAAAGUUCAUACUCUCCUUUUAAUACAUGAUAUAUAUGUUUUAUGGUUGAUUGAUUGAAGAAAAAAGAAUUUAAAAAAAAAAAUUAAAAAAAAAAUUAUCGCAUAUUAUACCUUGACAUGUGUUAUGUUUGUUGUUUUAGAUUUAGAUCGAGUUUGUUAUAUAAUGUGACAAUUUUUGUUUUUCAUUAUUUUACAUUUUAAUUUUGUUUAUUUCAUGUUUUAACUAUGGACGAAGAGAGCUGAGUCUGGUAUUUAUCUACGAAUGGACUUUCGCCCAUUGAAGGAGUUAUGCAAUACAGCGUGAUAUCAACAAUUUACAUGUACUUUUAUAUAUCAGUGGUAUGUCAUAGUUCCGAUAAUACAAACAAACGAAUGUUGAUGGGUUGCUGUUUCACUGACGUUUAUGACGCAAACGUGAUUUCGAGAUUAAAAUUUUGAUCUGGACGUUCGAGUCUUCAUCAACAAUAAUUCUUGACUGGCUAAAUCUACUUUGACUGUUUUAUCAAUACUAAUUUACAAAAGGUGUCUUCGAUCAGCAUUUGGAUACACAACUGGACCCUAGUUCUAAUGAAAGUUUGAAGCACCAGUUGCACGCUCUUAUUUCACCAUCUCUUUAAAGUUUGCUCUGUCGUAAAAUUAGUUUCGACUCUCGGUACUAUACAGCACCUAGGUUUAGAAAAAAGACUUCUGCUGCAGCUCAUGGAUUGAAUUCUCGUAUCCGCGAUUCAAGGAUUGAAGUCAAAUGCGUUUAUUGAAUUUUACAGGAUAAAAAUGAUUAAGUUAGUAACAGAAUUUUAUGCUUCAGCUGUUUUGUGUCAGUCUUGCCUUCCAAAACUUUUAUGAUCUUUAUUUCAUACAAUUACAACCAUCUUGUUUUGGGUCAGCAUUGGCUGCCAAAACGUUUUAUGAUCUUUAUUUCAUAUAAUUAAAACUAUCUUGUUUUGGGUCAGCAUUGCCUUCCAAAACGUUUGAUGAUCUUUAUUUCAUACAAUUACAACUAUCUUGUUUUGGGUCAGCAUUGCCUUCCAAAACGUUUGAUGAUCUUUAUUUCAUACAAUUACAACUAUCUUGUUUUGGGUCAGCAUUGCCUGCCAAAACGUUUUAUGAUCUGUAUUUCAUAUAAUUAAAACUAUCUUGUUUUGGGUCAGCAUUGCCUACCAAAACGGGUAUACGAUCUUAAGUAAAAAAUGCUAUGCUUCUGUUUUGGGUCAGCAUUGCCUGCCAAAACGUUUAUAUGAUCUUUAGUAAUAAAAUUCCAUGCUUCUUUUUUGGGUCAGCAUUGCAUGCUAAAACGUUUUUAUGAGCUUUAGUAAUAAAACGCUAUGCUUCUGUUUACGGUCAGUAUUGCCUGUCAAAACGUUUAUAUGAUCUUUAUUUCAUACAAUUACAACUAUCUUGUUUUGGGUCAGCAUUGCCUGCCAAAACCUUUAUUAUCUUUAUUUCAUACGGAUGGGGUCAUUAUUGUCUGCCCUCCUGAUGUCUACAUUUUGUUAAGACUGCCAACUUCAUGUAUGUAUACAUGAAUUGUUUUAGAUCAUGUUAUGAUUGUCAGCGUUGCCUAUUUUAUUUUAGUUUCCAAUUUAUCAAAUUAUAUAUAUAAAACGACUUGAUGGUUUAUCCCAAUUUUGUACUAAAUGUUAUGGUCUUUAGAGGUCAAUCUAUCAAAAACCAGUAAUUUUAUUUACCUAAACUGGUUAUUAUUUAAAAGAAUAUUUUUCUUUCGAGAAAGAUAUUAGAGUAUGUGUCAAUAAUUAUAAAUAUUCACUAGGUUUAAAAUUAACAUCUCGUGGACUUUUAACGCAAGGUAAAGAAAAAUAAUACAAAAAAAUCAUUAAAAGCUGUAUUUAGAUUUCAAAGAUAUUUUUCAUCUUUUAACUUAACUACGACCAUACAAUAUAAACCCUUUUAUGGCAUUCAAAUUACAAGUAUGUUCAGAACGAUCUCUUUAGCAUGCCAGGAAAAAAAAUGAAUAUGAAUAUGUAUUUCAAUAAUUUAUAGCAAUGAUAUUCAUUAAAUUUAUUUUUUAUUCUAAAAAUUUAAAAUUUAAUUUUUUUUUUUUUUUUUUUUUCUUUUAUAGAAAAAUCAAAUUCCCGAUAUAAAUGAAGUGAUUUUUAAGUGUAAAUGAAAAGUCUUCUAGCUUAGCAGUGCUAAGUAAAUUUGGUAGAUUCCCGUUAUUUUUUUAUAGUGGUAUUAUCAAUAUGAAAUAUUACUAUUAAUAUCGAAUGCUGGUAUUAACCCAUUCAUUAAAUUUCUAAAAAGCUGAACAUUCAAAAUUAUUAUUAAAGCUUAUUUUUUUUAUCAAGUCCUGAGUUAAGCAAAAUUUUCUAAAGUCUCACAUCAAUUGGGAAUACAACAAAAAUUAACUCAGAGUAAAACAGUUCUAAAUUAGAUACUUAUUUCAAUUACAAAAACUUGGUUUCCUAAAGAAAUUUAUUUGUCUUUGUAUAAUUUCGAUUGAAAAAUGCCAAAUGUAAAAUGAGAAUCAGUGACCACGAUCCCAUAAUAGAAAGAGUCAGAUAUAAAACUUCCUAUUUAGAAAGAAGUCAGGGCUUUGUAAAAAUGUACUUUUAUUUUGUUUGAAGAUUAAAUAUGAACAACAUUUUAUUAUUAGUUGUCCAGUACACAAUGAUUAUGGAGAGAUAUCAGAUCACUCAAAUGAGGCAAAAAUGUUUUCUGUUAAUUACUGUACUAAUACUGAUUGUCUGUACUAAAAUAUUUAGGGGAUAAUGUUAUUAGAUGUUGAGAUGUAAGACGAAAUGUGAAUACAUAUAUUAAAUAACGAUGAUUAUUGUAACUUUAUUGCUGCAGUCCUGUCCGUAAUAACAUUUACACCUUCAGUCAUGUUUAUCAGCAGAGAUAAUUAAAAGGUAAUAUAUGUAGGUUUAUUAUUAUAUGAACUUUUAAUAUAUCACCUGAAUGUGGAAACGUUUUAUAAAAACAUAGUGUUAUUUUUUGGUGUAUUUGAGUGUCAUGCUUCCAAAUUCUAAUAAGUUAUAUAUAAAUUGUAUUCACGUCGCCAGAGUCAUCGGAUAGGGAUCCACUUUUUCAACCUCAGAGUGGAUUUGUGGCAGAUUUUGCUCCCCACAUUUGCUAUUUUUUGUCAUUUAUUCAAUUGAUAUGAUUUUAGUUGAUGUAAUUUCGUAUUAAUUAUGUAUUAUAAUUUCAUAUCAAUUAUGAACUUUUAUGUCAAAUGUUUUAUUUGCAAAAUGUAUUUUUUGCAUUUAAUGAUUUUGAAUAAAUGACCUUUUUUCGUCAA